RNAcentral lists this long non-coding RNA (184 nucleotides) under Fukomys damarensis (Damara mole-rat). Its description in RNAcentral is "lncRNA (ENSFDAG00000028848.1)". The record is from RNAcentral. Lineage: Eukaryota; Metazoa; Chordata; Mammalia; Rodentia; Bathyergidae.
CUUCCAAAAGAGAUGACCCCAAAAUCUCGUGACAUAUUUUGGUGACCCAACCUCACCUCCUCCUUUCGCAAGACAAGCCAUUACCUCUGUUGACAAAAGGCAAGAAUAUUGUGCCUCAUCCAAACCAGUACACUAUGACAGUGCUCGUGAGUUUCGACAGCAUCUGCUGUGCACACACAGAAGG